Molecule: ribosomal RNA, 468 nt
Filed under: uncultured bacterium
Lineage: Bacteria
Description: partial 16S ribosomal RNA
Rfam family: Bacterial small subunit ribosomal RNA
Source: RNAcentral
GACGAACGCUGGCGGCGUGCUUAACACAUGCAAGUCGAACGGAAAGGCCCUGCUUUUGUGGGGUGCUCGAGUGGCGAACGGGUGAGUAACACGUGAGUAACCUGCCAUUGACUUUGGGAUAACUUCAGGAAACUGGGGCUAAUACCGGAUAGGAGCUCCUGCUGCAUGGUGGGGGUUGGAAAGUUUCGGCGGUUGGGGAUGGACUCGCGGCUUAUCAGCUUGUUGGUGGGGUAGCGGCUUACCAAGGCUUUGACGGGUAGCCGGCCUGAGAGGGUGACCGGCCACAUUGGGACUGGAAUACGGCCCGGACUCCUACGGGAGGCAGCAGUGGGGAAUAUUGCACAAUGGGCGGAAGCCUGAUGCAGCAACGCCGCGUGCGGGAUGACGGCCUUCGGGUUGUAAACCGCUUUCGCCUGUGACGAGGCGUGAGUGACGGUAAUGGGUAAAGAAGCACCGGCUAACUACGUG